RNAcentral lists this ribosomal RNA (301 nucleotides) under uncultured bacterium. RNAcentral describes it as "partial 16S ribosomal RNA". It matches the Rfam family "Bacterial small subunit ribosomal RNA", at positions 509 to 807 of the family's 1533-position model. The record is from RNAcentral.
CAGUCGCCACGGGAACACGGAGGGAGCUAGCGUUGUUCGGAAUUACUGGGCGUAAAGCGCACGUAGGCGGUUAUUCAAGUCAGAGGUGAAAGCCCGGGGCUCAACCCCGGAACUGCCUUUGAAACUAGAUGACUGGAAUCUUGGAGAGGUCAGUGGAAUUCCGAGUGUAGAGGUGAAAUUUGUAGAUAUUCGGAAGAACACCAGUGGCGAAGGCGACUGACUGGACAAGUAUUGACGCUGAGGUGCGAAAGCGUGGGGAGCAAACAGGAUUAGAUACCCCGGUAGUCCCUGUCUCUUAUAC